GAUGAACGCUAGCGGCGGGCCUAAUACAUGCAAGUCGAACGGGAAAGGUGGCAACACCUUGAGAGUGGCGUACGGGUGCGUAACGCGUAUACAACCUGCCUGUUACACGGGGAUAGCCUUGCGAAAGCGAGAUUAAUACCCGAUGGUACUAUUGAGCGGCAUCGCUUGGUAGUUAAAGCUGAGGCGGUAACAGAGGGGUAUGCGUCCCAUUAGCUAGUUGGUAGUGUAACGGACUACCAAGGCGACGAUGGGUAGGGGUUCUGAGAGGAUGAUCCCCCACAAUGGUAAUGGGAUAAGGACCAGAAUCCUACGGGAGGCAGCAGUAGGGAAUAUGGGGCAAUGGACGGAAGUCUGACCCAGCCACGCCGCGUGCAGGAAGAAGGUCCUCUGGAUUGUAAACUGCUUUUCUUGGGGAAGAAAACCCUUCUGCGGAAGGAAUUGACGGUACUCAAGGAAUAAGCAUCGGCUAACUCCGUG
This 477-nucleotide ribosomal RNA is filed under the name uncultured bacterium. RNAcentral's name for it is "partial 16S ribosomal RNA". It matches the Rfam family "Bacterial small subunit ribosomal RNA", at positions 28 to 507 of the family's 1533-position model. The record is from RNAcentral.